GGUGAGUAACACGUGGGUAACCUGCCCUUAAGUGGGGGAUAACAUUUGGAAACAGAUGCUAAUACCGCAUAGAUCCAAGAACCGCAUGGUUCUUGGCUGAAAGAUGGCGUAAGCUAUCGCUUUUGGAUGGACCCGCGGCGUAUUAGCUAGUUGGUGAGGUAAUGGCUCACCAAGGCGAUGAUACGUAGCCGAACUGAGAGGUUGAUCGGCCACAUUGGGACUGAGACACGGCCCAAACUCCUACGGGAGGCAGCAGUAGGGAAUCUUCCACAAUGGACGCAAGUCUGAUGGAGCAACGCCGCGUGAGUGAAGAAGGCUUUCGGGUCGUAAAACUCUGUUGUUGGAGAAGAAUGGUCGGCAGAGUAACUGUUGUCGGCGUGACGGUAUCCAACCAGAAAGCCACGGCUAACUACGUGCCAGCAGCCGCGGUAAUACGUAGGUGGCAAGCGUUAUCCGGAUUUAUUGGGCGUAAAGCGAGCGCAGGCGGUUUUUUAAGUCUGAUGUGAAAGCCCUCGGCUUAACCGAGGAAGCGCAUCGGAAACUGGGAAACUUGAGUGCAGAAGAGGACAGUGGAACUCCAUGUGUAGCGGUGAAAUGCGUAGAUAUAUGGAAGAACACCAGUGGCGAAGGCGGCUGUCUGGUCUGUAACUGACGCUGAGGCUCGAAAGCAUGGGUAGCGAACAGGAUUAGAUACCCUGGUAGUCCAUGCCGUAAACGAUGAAUGCUAGGUGUUGGAGGGUUUCCGCCCUUCAGUGCCGCAGCUAACGCAUUAAGCAUUCCGCCUGGGGAGUACGACCGCAAGGUUGAAACUCAAAGGAAUUGACGGGGGCCCGCACAAGCGGUGGAGCAUGUGGUUUAAUUCGAAGCAACGCGAAGAACCUUACCAGGUCUUGACAUCUUUUGAUCACCUGAGAGAUCAGGUUUCCCCUUCGGGGGCAAAAUGACAGGUGGUGCAUGGUUGUCGUCAGCUCGUGUCGUGAGAUGUUGGGUUAAGUCCCGCAACGAGCGCAACCCUUAUGACUAGUUGCCAGCAUUUAGUUGGGCACUCUAGUAAGACUGCCGGUGACAAACCGGAGGAAGGUGGGGAUGACGUCAAAUCAUCAUG
RNAcentral lists this ribosomal RNA (1105 nucleotides) under Lacticaseibacillus paracasei. RNAcentral describes it as "bacterial SSU rRNA". It matches the Rfam family "Bacterial small subunit ribosomal RNA", at positions 105 to 1197 of the family's 1533-position model. The record is from RNAcentral. Lineage: Bacteria; Bacillati; Bacillota; Bacilli; Lactobacillales; Lactobacillaceae.